Molecule: ribosomal RNA, 451 nt
Filed under: uncultured bacterium
Lineage: Bacteria
Description: partial 16S ribosomal RNA
Rfam family: Bacterial small subunit ribosomal RNA
Source: RNAcentral
GUGGGGAAUAUUGCGCAAUGGGGGAAACCCUGACGCAGCGACGCCGUGUGAGGGAAGAAGGCUUUCGGGUCGUAAACCUCUGUCAGAAAGGAAGAACCUCCCAAGUCCGAAUAGGGCUUGGGACUGACGGUACUUUCAAAGGAAGCACCGGCUAACUCCCUGCCAGCAGCCGCGGUAAUACGGAGGGUGCAAGCGUUAAUCGGAAUCACUGGGCGUAAAGCGCGCGUAGGCCGCUUUGUAAGUCGGACGUGAAAGCCCUCGGCUCAACCGGGGAACUGCGUUCAAUACUGCGAGGCUUGAGUCCUGGAGAGGGUGGCGGAAUGCCGGGUGUAGGAGUGAAAUCCGUAGAUAUCCGGAGGAACACCGGUGGCGAAGGCGGCCACCUGGACAGGUACUGACGCUGAGGCGCGAAAGCGUGGGGAGCAAACAGGAUUAGAAACCCUGGUAGUCC